This 261-nucleotide ribosomal RNA is filed under the name uncultured archaeon. RNAcentral's name for it is "partial 16S ribosomal RNA". It matches the Rfam family "Archaeal small subunit ribosomal RNA", at positions 748 to 1008 of the family's 1478-position model. The record is from RNAcentral.
CAGCCGUAAACAAUGUGCGUUAGGUGUGUCGGUAACCACGCGUUACUGAUGCGCCGAAGAGAAAUCGUGAAACGCACCACCUGGGAAGUACGGUCGCAAGGCUGAAACUUAAAGGAAUUGGCGGGGGAGCGCCACAACAGGUGGAGCCUGCGGUUUAAUUGGAUUCAACGCCGGACAUCUCACCGGAUAAGACAGCUGAAUGAUUGUCAAUCUGAAGGUUUUACAUGACUAGCUGAGAGGUGGUGCAUGGCGUCAGUGACU